This 274-nucleotide ribosomal RNA is filed under the name uncultured bacterium. Its description in RNAcentral is "partial 16S ribosomal RNA". It matches the Rfam family "Bacterial small subunit ribosomal RNA", at positions 523 to 796 of the family's 1533-position model. The record is from RNAcentral.
AUACGUAGGGGGCGAGCGUUGUCCGGAAUUACUGGGCGUAAAGGGCAAGUAGGCGGGAAGAUAAGUCUGAUGUGAAAGACUCCGGCUCAACCGGGGGAACGCAUUGGAUACUGUCUUUCUUGAGGGGUUGUGAGGAAAGCGGAACUGCUGGUGUAGCGGUGAAAUGCGUAGAUAUCGGAAGGAACACCAGUGGCGAAGGCGACUUCCUGGGCCAAUACUGACGCUAAGGUGCGAAAGCGUGGGGAGCAAACAGGAUUAGAUACCCCAGUAGUCC